UGUGAUCUCAAAUCAGGUAGGACUACCCGCUGAACUUAAGCAUAUCAAUAAGCGGAGGAAAAGAAACUAACAAGGAUUCCCCUAGUAACUGCGAGUGAAGCGGGAAAAGCUCAAAUUUAAAAUCUGGCAGUCUUUUGGCUGUCCGAGUUGUAAUCUAGAGAAGUGUUAUCCGCGCUGGACCGUGUACAAGUCUCCUGGAAUGGAGCAUCAUAGAGGGUGAGAAUCCCGUCUUUGACAUGGACUGCCAGGGCUUUGUGAUGCGCUCUCAAAGAGUCGAGUUGUUUGGGAAUGCAGCUCAAAAUGGGUGGUAAAUUCCAUCUAAAGCUAAAUAUUGGCGAGAGACCGAUAGCGAACAAGUACCGUGAGGGAAAGAUGAAAAGAACUUUGGAAAGAGAGUUAAACAGUACGUGAAAUUGCUGAAAGGGAAACGCUUGAAGUCAGUCGCGUUGUCCAGGGAUCAACCUUGCUUUUGCUUGGUGCAUUUUCUGGUUUGACGGGUCAGCAUCAAUUUUGACCAUAUAUUGGAAAAAGAUUGAGGGAAUGUGGCAUCCUUGGAUGUGUUAUAGCCCUUGGUCACAUACAAUGGUUGGGAUUGAGGAACUCAGCACGCCGCAAGGCCGGG
RNAcentral lists this ribosomal RNA (622 nucleotides) under Cortinarius dilutus. Its description in RNAcentral is "eukaryotic LSU rRNA". It matches the Rfam family "Eukaryotic large subunit ribosomal RNA", at positions 1 to 621 of the family's 3401-position model. Lineage: Eukaryota; Fungi; Basidiomycota; Agaricomycetes; Agaricales; Cortinariaceae. The record is from RNAcentral. RNAcentral also lists the same sequence under 1 other name.